This is a long non-coding RNA of Poecile atricapillus (Black-capped chickadee), 571 nucleotides long. RefSeq lists it as uncharacterized. The transcript is spliced from 4 exons. The record is from RefSeq and is a predicted model, not a curated record. Lineage: Eukaryota; Metazoa; Chordata; Aves; Passeriformes; Paridae.
ACAUUAUUAGCAGGAUUGUGCUCAGGACCGCGGGAGGCAGCGGUUCUUGUCCAAGAGGGUGUUACGGAUUUGCAAUGAUGAUUACUGCAUCCAAAGAUGCACAAAUGGUAGCUGCCUAUUCCCAGAGUUGGGUGUCACCCCGAGCAGGUCACCAUGAGAUGCAGCUGUCCUGUAAGAAGUAUCCUCAGACAGUGUGGUAAAGCUCACACAGACUCUCCCAGGAUGAGAGAGGAGUGAUGUCACCAUGAAUAUCCCUGUUGUUGCUUAGACUGACGAUCUCUCUCCCUUCUUCAUAAUUUCUUUUAAAAUUUAAGUACUGGCUGAAUACCCUUGAUAAUUCCAGUAUCCAGGUUAGACGCUCCAUGACAUUCUACAGGGAAUGAAGGGGCAAAAAGAGAUGCUCCAACUGACUUUAAGUGCCUGCUAGUGUGUGCAGUUUCCAGUCUCCCCCAAUUAAACCAGCACUUUUACUGUGAGACGUGUCCUGCUUAAGAGAUGGGGGUUUUUCCUAUUUGAUUCAUGUAGUUUCAUUUUGGCAUUGAAUUUUUAAACAAGUGUAAUAAAUUGUGAC